GGAAACUUGGCUUAGUGGUAGAGUGCUUGCCUUGUAUGCAUGAAGCCCUGGGUUUGAUUCCUCAGUACCA
RNAcentral lists this transfer RNA (70 nucleotides) under Dipodomys ordii (Ord's kangaroo rat). It matches the Rfam family "tRNA". From Rfam's summary of the family: Transfer RNA (tRNA) molecules are approximately 80 nucleotides in length. Their secondary structure includes four short double-helical elements and three loops (D, anti-codon, and T loops). Further hydrogen bonds mediate the characteristic L-shaped molecular structure. tRNAs have two regions of fundamental functional importance: the anti-codon, which is responsible for specific mRNA codon recognition, and the 3' end, to which the tRNAs corresponding amino acid is attached (by aminoacyl-tRNA synthetases). tRNAs cope with the degeneracy of the genetic code in two manners: having more than one tRNA (with a specific anti-codon) for a particular amino acid; and 'wobble' base-pairing, i.e. permitting non-standard base-pairing at the 3rd anti-codon position. Lineage: Eukaryota; Metazoa; Chordata; Mammalia; Rodentia; Heteromyidae. The record is from Rfam by way of RNAcentral.